Long non-coding RNA from Ictalurus punctatus (channel catfish), 704 nucleotides. The record is from Ensembl. NCBI's taxonomy places the organism in Eukaryota, Metazoa, Chordata, Actinopteri, Siluriformes, Ictaluridae.
UUACUGUGUGUUUUUUCUUAUCAUUUUCUGUAUCAUUGUGUGUAUCAUUAUGUCUCAUUUACGGAUGAUGGAGGCCACUGUGCUCAUUGGGACCUUCAAUGCUGCAGAAAUGUUUCUGUACCCUUCCCCAGACCUGUGCCUCGAUAGAAUCCUGUCUCGGAGGUCUACAGACAAUUCCUUGGACUUCAUGGCUUGGUGUAGGAGUCGGGGCUGUGGACGUCUCUCCCUCCUCUGCCUCCAUAAUCUCAGCCCAAGUGAGAUGUGUAGGAGUUGGGGCUGUGGACAUCUCUGCCUCCUCUUCCUCCAUAAUCACACCCAAGGUGGGAGGUGUAGGAAUGGGGGCUGUAGACGUCUCGGGUUCCUCUGCCUCCAUAAUCUCAGCCCAAGUGAGACUUGUUGGAGUUGGGGCUGUGGAGGUCUCUGCCUCCAUACUCUCUGAUCGAGUGAGAUGUGUUGGAGUUGGGGCUGUGGAUGUCUCUGCCUCCAUACUCUCUGCCCAAGUGAGACGUGUUGGAGUUGGGGCUGUGGACGUCUCUGCCUCCUCUGCCUCCAUAAUCUCAGCCCAAGUGAGAGCUGUUGGAGUUGGGACUGUGUACGUCUCUGCCUCCACUGCCUCCACAAUCUCUGCCUAAGUGAGAGGUGAUGGAGUUGGGCUGUGGAUGUCUCUGCCUCCACUGCCUCCAUUAUCUCACCUCUUGUGAGAG